CAGUCGCCGCGGUAAUACGGAGGGAGCUAGCGUUGUUCGGAAUUACUGGGCGUAAAGCGCACGUAGGCGGUCAGCCAAGUCAGAGGUGAAAGCCCGGAGCUCAACUUCGGAACUGCCUUUGAAACUAUCUGACUAGAAUCUUGGAGAGGCGGGUGGAAUUCCGAGUGUAGAGGUGAAAUUCGUAGAUAUUCGGAAGAACACCAGUGGCGAAUGCGGCCCGCUGGACAAGUAUUGACGCUGAGGUGCGAAAGCAUGGGGAGCAAACAGGAUUAGAUACCCCAGUAGUCCCUGUCUCUUAUAC
Molecule: ribosomal RNA, 301 nt
Filed under: uncultured bacterium
Lineage: Bacteria
Description: partial 16S ribosomal RNA
Rfam family: Bacterial small subunit ribosomal RNA
Source: RNAcentral